Molecule: long non-coding RNA, 2461 nt
Organism: Gordionus sp. m RMFG-2023
Lineage: Eukaryota; Metazoa; Nematomorpha; Gordioida; Chordodea; Parachordodidae
Exons: 7
Source: RefSeq, a predicted model, not a curated record
UUAAUUUGAAAUUAUUUUUGAUUAUGAAGUAAAUGAAAAUAAUUAUAUUGAGAUUUUUUUCGUCUGCGGGAAAAUGGCUGAUGUUAAAUCGCACUCACAAUUUCAUUUUCAAGCACACUAUAUUCCUUAAAUAUUUACUUUGCGACUACAUACAUUUUUUAUGACAUGAAAAGCCUGACUUCUACUCUUCUGAAUCAAAACUCUAGUAAAUUCUUUCAAAUGCAUGGAAGAUGUUUGGGAGAGUAAUGAGACUCUUUUUUAAUUGCUGAGGAUUAUACAUAACCCAUAAUAUAUCUCUGUCAAGUUAUUACUUUUAUUCAUUAAUUUUUCUAUUUUUUCUAGAUUCAAAGAAAUAAAUUCUCUUCUUUAUUUACUAAUUUAUCUCAAUCAAUUCAUCAUAACUUAAUUCUUUCUUAUCUUCUCCAAUUCUUUACCUAAGCUACUAUAAAGUUUAGCAAGUACCAUUAUAAACCAUUUAUUUAUCUUUUAUUUCAAUUAUUUAUUUCCUUUAACAAUUUAUUUUUUCUAUAUAUUAAUCUUAUUAACUUAAUUUAAACAAAAUAAUAUAAAUCAACAUUUAAUAUAAUUACAACUUCUUUCUUAAACAAAAUUUAACUUUAAUCCUCUCUUAAAACUCAAUUUCAUGGAUAUUUUCUUAUUUAUCAUUUCUCUUGUCUGCUUUUUGCUUUUUCAAUUUUCCAAGUAUCGUCUGCUUAUUUUUUCCCCAUUUUUUUUUCUAUUUCAAAAUUCAAAUUUAUCUUACAAUUUACUUUAAAAUUUAUAUUAUGUCAAUUUUCAAAAAUCUAACAAUCUACUCCUACAACAUUCCUGGCCUACUUUCAAAAACAACUAUACUUAGGAAACUCUUUGAUCAAUAUGAUAUUAACAUUAUUUUAACACAAGAAUCUCUUAUUACCAAUAAUAUAAAAAAAAAAAAGAGAAAACAAAAAAAAUAAGUUACAAAUUACAAAAACUAAUUCUUCUUCCUCUUUACUCCUUAAUCACCCCCCCCCCCUUUUUCUAAUACAUAUUCCUAUCUUAUCUUUUAUAAUAAAUAAACAUUAUUUACAAUGUGGAUCCUGGCUUAUCCACGAGUGGUACCCGUCAUCCCACUCAAAUUAAACGGGACCCUGACAGUAGGGUAAAUUACUGUCAACUUUGUGGAUCCUGGCUUAUCCACGAGUGGUACCUGUCAUCCCACUCAAAUUAAACAGGGCCCAGACAGUAGGGUAAAUUUUCUGCCAAACAGUGAAUGCAAAUUCACUGCACUGGAGACGCCCUCUAUGGGGUGGUGGAGUGCCCACUUAAUUGUGGGAUGUCUCCCCAGUGUAUAAUAUGAUAUGAUAUGAACUCAAAUUAUAAUGAUAUAUAUGACUUCCUUGUAUUCUCUAAAAUUCCGGUAAAUGUUAAUAAGGCUAAUUUUCUAAGAAAGAUAACCGCCUUCAAGAUUAUAGAAAAUCAAUUAUUCUAUGGGGAAACCAUUAUAAGUUCAAUGCAAUAUAUUAUUUUUUAACAUUGAAAAAUGCUCAGGCCAUUAUUAACUUUUUUUCAUCUAAAAUUAAUUAUAGCUGCAAAUAAGAAAGAAAAGUUAUACUGACAGGAGAUGAACAAAAAAAAAUAAUUAAAACAAUACAUGAGGGGGGUGUAUCUACAGUUGCAGGUAUUGCUAUGGGAGGGCAUCUGGGGAUUAAUAAAACUAAUCAAAUAAUAGCUGAAAAGAUAAAACAGCUAAAUCUGUUGUAAAAGCCUUAUACAUCAUUGUCAACACCCACCAAUGCUAUGAAAAAAUAUCCCUAGAUAUUUUUUUCCUACAACAAAGGUAUGGAAAAAAUAUCAUGCUAAAAUAUAUGGUUUAAAGCCUCCCAAACGUUGUCGGGAUGUAGACUAUGGGAAACAACUUGGUGAACCCACCAUCCUGGUGCAAAUUGAAAAUGAUGGGAAUUGUUUUUAUAGGGCGAUUAGUGUAGAGCUUACUGGAGCUCCAAAUUCCCAUGUUAUUCUCAGGCAAUGGUUGGCACAAUUUAUGCUAACAUCCGAGAUGGGAAAGGUAAUUGAAAAUUAUCUUUACGAGACGAACAAAAAAAUAGAGAUAAAAACUUAUGUCUCAAAUAAUGUAAUGACACAGAAGAUAUGGGCUUCUGACACAGAAGUCAGGGCGAUGGCCACAAUGUUAAAUACGGCUAUUUUUACUUAUAUAAAAUAUAAUGAUAAUUUUGUAUGGGCCCGAUAUGACCCAUUUUAUAUUCGCGACAAUAUUAAAAUAUUUAAUAAUAAUUUUAUUUAUAUAAAAAAUGGGGGGAGUCAUUUUGAAAAUGUUUUAGAUUGCGAUUUAUCUUCCAUCUAAUCACUAUUUAUUAUUUUUAUUAAAAAAAAUUUUUUAUAUAAAUAUAUAUAAUUAUAUUUCAUUCAUAUUAUAAUUUAUCGCCUUAUAUAUAUAUUUUUUAUGAAAGUUGUAGUUUAU